CACAGACGCGGCCAGCAGAUCCCGGCCACCGGUCUUAUUUUCCGUAUUCUUUUCUCUUCCUCCCCCUCCAGACUCUCUCCCCAAAGCCUAUGCUUGAAAUAAACUGGGAAUGAAUGCGGGGCAGGCAGUGGCGGGAGUUAUUUUGCACGGGGCUCCGCGCAUUGACUUCAUGACUUUCCUCGAAAUGAUUGGGGUCUGCCAGUGUUUUUUCAGGGCGGAAGGGGGUGAUGAGGAAAAGUACCGGGUUCUCAGAACUAAAGACUCCCAAGUCGAAAAGUCAAGAGGGGAGCGGGAAGGAGGAGCGGGAGCAAGGCUGGGAAAGGCUCUGCUAAGGAGUCCCGUGAACGUGGGGUGGGGAUGGCUGGGGCUGUCUGCAGAUCCAGCUUAAGAGGUUUUUGCUGUCAGAGGUAGACACUCGGUCCAAGGAGAGGAAAUGCUUGCAUUUUCUCACUUUGGGGGUCUGGACGCCCCCACCUCCUAGCCCUGGAGACCCCCCCAACCCCGGAGUCCUGCACGAAGUGCGAGAGGAAGGGAGGGAACAAUGAGCUCAGAGCCGGGAAUGUGCCCCCAGCGCCUGUUUACAAACACCAAGCUAUUUACGAUCUCGCCGGAAAGCGAAACCCGACGCGGGCUCGGAGCAGCCCCGACCUCGCGGGCGGAGCCGGGCCCAGGCGCCGCGGGGAGGGCGGCUCUUUCUCCGAUCCUCUCCGGGCGGAGCAGCGGUGCGCCCAGGGCGCGGCGCAGCAGGGCCGGCGCGUUCGGCUGGGACUACGGCCGCUCCGCCUUUGUCUUCGAGGCGCCGAAGGGCUCUGGCUGAUGCCGUGCUCGGGCCUGAAGGGACCCGGCGCCCUCAGCUUUUCCCCGGCGACGCCUCGCGCUCUCCUCAGCCCCUUCUCCUCCCCAUCUCGCCCCCCACUCCGCUUUCCUGUCUCCAACCCGGCUCGGGGAAAACUCCCAGCGCCGAAGACAUCCACAUCAAAAGCUGAGGUUUCAGACAAAAAGCUGCCCCUGCCCACAACUCGGAGGCUCCAACCAGCCACUGAUUUUUACUUUCUCCCUUUAAAUACCUAUUCUCCGGCUUUAAAAAUUCCUUUUCUUUAUUCUCCCUUUCUAAGCUUGCCCUUUAUUACAUUUGGUGAUGUUAUUUUCGUUUUUAUUUUUUCAGCCGGCCCGACUCUGAUUUGCCGAAAUGGCUCAAGCCUCAGCAGCUCAACCCGCGGGCUAGAAACCUCACAUUUCCAAGCUGGGCUCGCAGCUCGCUCGGCUCGGGGCAAGAUCUUCUCCCCCUCCCUCCAGCUGAAACCUCGCAGAAAACUCCCCCUGCGGUCGACUGGAAAAUGAACUCACCCAAAUCUCGGGUCUUGUACUUUUCUCCACCGCCAACAUGUAUACAGUUUCCUGGCACAAACGCCCCGCCACAGGCACAUCACGCGGGAGGUGAAUGAAGGCAGGCCCGCGUGUCAAAGCCAAGGGGAUCCAGAGAUGAAAAAAGAAAGUUCAGGUAACUUUUAAAUACAUUCUCAAUCAUACUUCCCUAUGAACUCCUCACUUACAACGGUGCAUUAUCUGAAGCAGCAUUUUUUUGUGUAAGUAUAAAAACUUUUUCCUAUCACUACCUUUCAAAACCUUGGUGAGUUAUCUUAUGUUUGAGAUACUUCUUUGCUUCACAGAUACAGCACUGGCUGGCUGGCUGGCUGUUUAAAAGAAACAACAUAGCCAAACACUCCAAAUCAAACAGCCUUGGUGGAUUGUUCAGCACUUGAAGGCUUGAUCUUUUGUGCCGUCUACUGGACAAUGGAAAAACUACAGUCUCUAUGAUUUAAACUUUUCUCUUGUCCAGUGUUGGGGGUGGGGAGUGGGUAGGAAGGGGGAUGUGACUUGCUACUGGUAAAUAAUAAGAGAGGAAACGAGACCUAAUUUAGACUCAGAGUACAGAUCUUGUGACUUCAAAUCUUCAAAUCCAAGUUUAGGACAUUAUAUUAACUAUAGGCAUGCCUCAACCACUUGAUUAAGGCACAAGGCUAAAACCUACAUUUUACACAACUCUGUGUGUGUGUGUGUGUGGGUGUGUGUGUGUGUGUGUGUGUGUGUUGGCUUGGAAAGAGAAAGAAAGAUGGUGGGACAAGCUUAGCAUCUCUGGAAAAAAAAUAUUGGUGGUAAUAUUUCUCACUUAGGACUGAGAAUUGGCUUGACAGCCAAGUUACAUGUAUUUAUUGCCUAGGUAAUCCAGGAUGUACAGGUUAAUUCUUGGAAUUUGGAACAUGAUAUUGUUCAAUAAUCCAGAAGAGUACUUUCAUGAGGGGAGAAAUGAAAUUGGUAAUUAGAACAAUGUUAGUGCAGUUACUUUUUGGCAAUCUUGGAUAAAAACGUGAAACUUCACUGUUUUCACUUGGAGACCACAUGUGGGAAAAAGUGAGGGUGAAAUUCACAGUCAGAUGCUUUUAUGUAGCAGAGGCUGUUUGAUGUUCUCUUAAACAUGUAAAAACAUUGUAUACAUUUUGGUUACGAUUUCAAAAAUAUUUAUAGAGCUCUAGUAUUAUGGAAGCUUCAUACAAAAAAUGCAUGGAGCUAACUUUGACCUCUGACAUUGACAUAGUUCCUGAAUAACCAUAAUUAUCACAUAGACGUGAUUUUGUGUAGGAAAAACAUAAACAAAGCCCAAUGCCAAUGAAAUAUAGAGAAGUCAAGCUGAUUUUGGUGGAAGAGCCAUAGACUUGGGUACAAGGCUCUUAAAACAGUCCAUCUGCUUUUCUGAAGUUAAAAUUCCCUAUUGGAUUUUAAUAUAACCUAGUAGUGCAUGACUAGUUGUUAGGGUGCCUUUUAAUAAUAACCCAAUAGUGAAAAGGAGUCAGCUUUAGGGCAUUUUCUUGCUGCAUAAAUAUAUUUCAAUGAUCUACUUCAAAUGAUGUGGCACUGUGUCAGAAUGACGUUCACAUAUUGUAUUAAAUAUAGAUAUAGCAGAGAAUUGGGGUUGAUGCCGACUCCUUAAAGCAGGGAGAUUGCUUAUGUUGCAGAGUAAAAAAAUAAAUAAAUAAAACAGGAUGCUUCCAGUUGUGCUGCAGUGUGGCGGAGGGGGUGGUGGGAGUGGUGGACCAUGUCUCCUUAACUUUAGCAUCAUCAGCUGGACUGUGAAAGGUUAUUUUACGAGAUGCUGUUUGGAUCCCUUGGUCCCGAAUAAAGCAGCAACAACAGGGCUCUCCUAAGGAUAGCUAGAAAAUGUAGAAAAUUCUUACGGGAACCAAUUACCAGUACUCACACGCCUGAUACAUGCUAAGCGGACAGUGGAAGUACUGAGGGCGGGUGAAGGGUCUCUGGUCACCAAGUGCAAACAUUUAUCUUUGAAGCAACAGGAUGGGCCAGACUGGUCAUGAUAAACAUUCAUGUUCCACUGGAUAAAGGGGCAUUUUUUGUGAAAACCUUCAGGCAAAAAAAAAAAAAAAUCGUACUGAUUGUUCGAAAUUAAUAUCUUAACAUUUCAUUGAGCUCUCUAAUGAAUGGGAAGAACAUCCGAGGCCUCCUGCAGCUCAGAAAGCAUCCUGGUAGCCUGAGACCCAGCGAGGAACAGACCAGGAGCCGAAGGAGCCUGCUGAGUCGCUAUUCACUUGGGGAUAUCUGAAAACAUAGUGUUCCAUGCCCUUAUUUAAAAAGGAAAAAUAAAUAUCGUAUUUCCAU
Myotis daubentonii (Daubenton's bat) is the source of this 3672-nucleotide long non-coding RNA. RefSeq lists it as uncharacterized. The record is from RefSeq and is a predicted model, not a curated record. The transcript is spliced from 4 exons. Lineage: Eukaryota; Metazoa; Chordata; Mammalia; Chiroptera; Vespertilionidae.